AAUGAGGUGCCUGAUAAAAAGGACUAUUUUGAUAGAAUAGAUAAUGUAUGCAUAAAUACCCUUAUUA
This 67-nucleotide transfer RNA is filed under the name Platydema sp. PLA01. RNAcentral describes it as "partial tRNA-Ile". The record is from RNAcentral. Lineage: Eukaryota; Metazoa; Arthropoda; Insecta; Coleoptera; Tenebrionidae.